GCCGAUGUAGCUCAGUUGGUAGAGCAACUCCAUGGUAAGGAGUAGGUCGCCGGUUCAAGUCCGGCCAUCGGCU
RNAcentral lists this transfer RNA (73 nucleotides) under Anaplasmataceae bacterium. It matches the Rfam family "tRNA". Rfam says of the family: Transfer RNA (tRNA) molecules are approximately 80 nucleotides in length. Their secondary structure includes four short double-helical elements and three loops (D, anti-codon, and T loops). The record is from Rfam by way of RNAcentral. Lineage: Bacteria; Pseudomonadati; Pseudomonadota; Alphaproteobacteria; Rickettsiales; Anaplasmataceae.